GACGAACGCUGGCGGCGUGCUUAACACAUGCAAGUCGAACGGAAAGGCCCUGCUUUUGUGGGGUGCUCGAGUGGCGAACGGGUGAGUAACACGUGAGUAACCUGCCCUUCACUUUGGGAUAACUUCAGGAAACUGGGGCUAAUCCCGGAUCGGAGAUCCUGCUGCAUGGUGGGGGUUGGAAAGUUUCGGCGGUUGGGGAUGGACUCGCGGCUUAUCAGCUUGUUGGUGGGGUAGUGGCUUACCAAGGCUUUGACGGGUAGCCGGCCUGAGAGGGGGACCGGCCACAUUGGGACUGAGAGACGGCCCAGACUCCUACGGGAGGCAGCAGUGGGGAAUAUUGCACAAUGGGCGGAAGCCUGAUGCAGCAACGCCGCGUGCGUGAUGACGGCCUUCGGGUUGUAAACCGCUUUCGCCUGUGACGAAGCGUGAGUGACGGUAAUGGGUAAAGAAGCACCGGCUAACUACGUG
Molecule: ribosomal RNA, 468 nt
Filed under: uncultured bacterium
Lineage: Bacteria
Description: partial 16S ribosomal RNA
Rfam family: Bacterial small subunit ribosomal RNA
Source: RNAcentral